GAGAAGGCUAGAUUGGCCGGAUGUUGGUUACCGGUUUAAGCGUUCGAGGUGUUGAGAAACGGAGAAAACGUUUUGAGCUGAGACGUGAAUACGAGACGCUAAGGCGUCGAAGUAGUGUAUGUCAGACUUCCAAGAAAAGCUCGCACUGUCAUAGGUAAAAAAUGCCUGUACCAUAACCGACACAGGUGGGUAGGUAGAGUAUACUAAGGGGCGCGAGAUAACUCUCUCUAAGGAACUCGGCAAAAUGACUCCGUAACUUCGGGAGAAGGAGUGCCUUAUUUAUAAGGUUGCAAUAACAAGAUCCAAGCAACUGUUUACCAAAAACACAGGUCUCCGCUAAGUCGUAAGACGAUGUAUGGGGGCUGACGCCUGCCCAGUGCCAGAAGGUUAAAGAAGUUGGUUAGCAUUAGCGAAGCUGAUAACUGAAGCCCUGGUGAACGGCGGCCGUAACUAUAACGGUCCUAAGGUAGCGAAAUUCCUUGUCGGGUAAGUUCCGACCCGCACGAAAGGCGUAAUGAUUUGGAUACUGUCUCGGAGAGAGGCUCGGUGAAAUAGACUUGUCUGUGAAGAUGCGGACUACCUGCACCUGGACAGAAAGACCCUAUGAAGCUUUACUGUAACUUGAAAUUGAAAUUGGACUUUAGUCGCGCAGCAUAGGUGGGAAGCGUUGAGCAUAUUCUUGCGGGAAUAUAGGAGCUAUCAGUGAGAUACCACUCUUCUAAUGUUAGAUUUCUAACCUUGAACCAUUAUCUGGUCAAGGAACAGUUUCAGGCGGGCAGUUUGACUGGGGCGGUCGCCUCCCAAAUGGUAACGGAGGCGUACAAAGGUUUCCUCUGAACGGAUAGAAAUCGUAUCUAGAGUAUAAAGGCAUAAGGAAGCUUGACUGUGAGACCUACAAGUCGAGCAGGGACGAAAGUCGGUCUUAGUGAUCUGACGGUACUGAGUGGAAAGGCCGUCA
Molecule: ribosomal RNA, 958 nt
Filed under: Extubocellulus spinifer
Lineage: Eukaryota; Bacillariophyta; Thalassiosirophyceae; Cymatosirales; Cymatosiraceae
Description: partial Bacterial large subunit ribosomal RNA
Rfam family: Bacterial large subunit ribosomal RNA
Source: RNAcentral